Molecule: long non-coding RNA, 415 nt
Organism: Gordionus sp. m RMFG-2023
Lineage: Eukaryota; Metazoa; Nematomorpha; Gordioida; Chordodea; Parachordodidae
Exons: 3
Source: RefSeq, a predicted model, not a curated record
GAUUUUUUUGAAAAUGAAUUAUUGUAGUGCAAAAAUACUUGUAUUUUGAUUUGAAAGUGAAAUAUUUGGAAUUAUUUUGUACUGCAAUUCUUCUCGAGAUCAUCUACACUGACGAAAAAUCAUCCCACGCUUCCUAACCCGAAAAUAUUACCUCAUCAAACUUCGAGUUUAUUCCGAAAAAUCUUAAACUAUCUGGGCUUAAUUUCGUGGAGCCGUUUUGGGGUGAAAUCCAUGGAAAUAGAAAUAAUUAAUAUCAUGUUAGCCUAUCAAAAGUAGACAUUAAUGACUGACAACUAGCGAAAUUUAUUUUUUGGGACAUGUAGAUUAAAAAUUAUGUCUACUUUCUGUGAAAAUUAAAUAAAUUCAGAUCGGUUCUCGCAAUUUUGGCCCACGUUUUGUUUAUAGAAAACUCCUA